GACGAACGCUGGCGGCGUGCUUAACACAUGCAAGUCGAACGGAAAGGCCCUGCUUUUGUGGGGUGCUCGAGUGGCGAACGGGUGCGUAACACGUGAGUAACCUGCCCUUGACUUUGGGAUAACUUCAGGAAACUGGGGCUAAUACAGGAUAGGAGCUCCUGCUGCAUGGAGGGCGUUGGAACGUUUCGGCGGUUGGGGUUGGACUCGCGGCUGAUGAGCUUGUUGGUGGGGUAGUGGCUGACCAAGGCUUUGACGGAUCGGCGGCCUGUGAGCGUGACCGGCCACGUGGGGACUGAGAGACGGCGCAGACUGCUACGGGGGGCAGUAGGGGGGAAUAUGGCCCAAUGGGCGGAAGCCGGAUGCAGCAACGUCGGGGUCGUGAUGACGGCUUUCGGGGUAAGAACCGCUUUCGCCUGUGACGAAGCGGGAGUGACGGUAAUGGGUAAAGAAGCACCGGCUAACUACGUG
Molecule: ribosomal RNA, 468 nt
Filed under: uncultured bacterium
Lineage: Bacteria
Description: partial 16S ribosomal RNA
Rfam family: Bacterial small subunit ribosomal RNA
Source: RNAcentral